CGUCCGCACACGCGCCGCCAGGCGGACGCCCCUCAGCCGGCGGGGCACCGGCACGCCGCCCCGUCACGCAGCGCGGGGCCGGGGAGGGCGCUCUCCGAACGGCGGCCCAGGGCAGAGGCACGCGGGCAGAACCGCAGAGCGGCCCCGGAGCUCCCCGCGACUCCCACCGGGCCGGGCCCGCGCCGCCAAGCUGACAGGGGCCGCCCGCACCCGGCCGAGCCGCCCGCCCCGCGGUGCGGCAACAAAGGGACGGCGGCAAGCGGGCGGCGCCGCGCCGAGACGAUGCUCCUCCGCGUGAGGGAGGCGCGGCGGGCACCGCGCAGCGCGGCACGGCCACGGCCGUACGGCGGGAACGGACCGCGGGGGCGGCCGGCCCGCACCCACCCGCUCUCGCGGACCGCCGGGCAGCGGCCGUCCCACAGCGCAGCCCCGACGAGAAAGCCCGGCCCGGCUGGACUCCUCCGCCGCGCGGCCCCCACCCUCCGUCCCGCCCGCGCUCACCUGGGGCCCGGCGGCCCGUCCGCGCGCCGGCUGCGGGGCGUGAGGAGAAGAUGGCGGCAGGCCUCGCUGCGGGGCGGGCCCGGGGCCGCGCUCGGUCGGCCGGGGUCUCGCUGUCGCUCGGCGCUGCGACCGUCGCCCUCCCUCUCGUCCGCCGCCCGGCCCCCAGGACCCUCCCCGCGCCGGGGCGGGGUGCCCGUUCGCCGCCUGAGUGCAAGCGAGAAAGGACGGCCCGGCUGGGCGUCGCCGCGGGGGCGGGGAGCGGCCGGUGGCGGCGGGGCGGGGCCGCGCUUUGUUAGCGGCGGGGCGAGCACCCUCCCGCCCACGGGCCGCAGCGGGUGGCGGCGGUGCCCGGACGAGCGCCGAGGGAACCGCGGACGGGGCGGGGUCGGGCGGCGGAGCUGCGGCGGCUGCAGCUGCCGGGCCGGCAAGUGCGGGCUCGUCGACGUUCCCCGCCCAGCGCGGCGGCUCCAGGCGCGUCCCUGUGAGCGGCCUGCCCCGAGGCCUGCCCUUGGCUCGCGGCGCCUCUGAGGGCGGCGGGAACCGCCUCGGCUUCUCUGAGGAGGUCGUGUGGCGCGCGCGGCCGAGCGCCCAUCUGAGGGACGGCGCCGAGCGGCGGGAACGGGGCUGCGCGCCGCUGUCACUGCUCGUCUCCACAGCCUGGUGCCAGCUCCGUCCAGGGCCGCAUUGGUGGAAAAAUGUGUAUUUUUCACGAAACAUCAGAUGUAUAAAUGCUGUAUAUGAGAUACAGAGAUGCAUUUUCAUAUGUUUUGACAUUCGGUUAAAUUUAAUGCAUCUUUGUAAUUCUCAGAAGACAGCCGCUAAGAGUGAUGUGAACGCUGAACAUGUUUUCUGUGUUCAGACACUGAAGGGAGAUGACAUUCAGCAAACCGUGUUACAGUGCCAGUGCUCCGCAUGGACAAAACUCCGGAAUGCGCAGAGGUGUCCUGCAGUCGGGCCCGUGAGAAGCAAUUUGGGCACGGUGCCACCUGGCUGAGCAGCAGUGACUCCGCAGCAGACGAGCCAGGACUGGAAGCUGCCGGCUCCUUCUGCAGCACCCAGGUCCCAACUGCACAUCCUGGGAAGCUGGCUGGGUUCUCUAGCUAAAACACUGACCCCUUCCUCCUGCUGCAAAGGCUAUCGCUUCUUGCUUGAUUACAUCCAGAGGCAAAAGAUUAAUAGAAGAUGUCAUUAUAGAAAUGGAACUGUUUUCUAAUAGAAGUGAGGAGAAUAGCAACAGUAGAAAGUGAAGAAAGGGAUGUCAUGUCCCAUUUCUGCACAACUCCUUGCUCUGCAGUCCAGCACAACACACAUAGAAAGAACUAACUGGACUACGGGGUUGUAUCAGUUGACUUGAAAUUGUGAAACUCACCUCUGAAGAGAACAGGAUAACCAUAUAGACUGGAAGAAGGCUUGACUUCCUUCAAAAGACUUCCCUUCAGCUGAGGUUCAUCUGGAUGUUCACCAUCAUCUCCAAAGCAAACAAAUGAUCUCGUCUGAAUGGGAACCUGACUUGGGGAAAAUCUUCUCAAGCGAGGAAGACUAUCCACAGACCUUGGGGCAGUCAAGCCAUCUACGUAAGACAUUGAUGUGGACCUUCUGAUGACUCCUAAGCAAAAUUAACAUGGAAUCCAAGAUGAAGAGAAGCUGAGAUCUCUUGGAACAACACAACGGGAAUUCAAUGGCUCUCGAACUUGCACUUCAUAUGAACCAGAACAUUAUUAUGGAAACCACUAACAAUUUAUUGGUCACUUAAAAAAACCUGACAAGCAUAUUGUUCAACUGAAGCCUGAAAACCAAAGCUACUACAAAACUUCAAAUCCAAAUUCUGAAAGAUGCAGAGACUCUACCAGAAACAGAUGAGAUUACCACAAAGCACCGGCAGGUCAAGAUCCACAGGGGACUACCUGGAGCUAAAAAGCAUACAUACUCCUUCCUCUCUUAUCUUCUACAGGAAGCUAGCAGCAGAAGAAAGUGAAGGAAAACAAAAGCAAUCUCAUGAUCUGUUAAUACUAUUUGCAACUAUUCAGAAAUAGAUAAGUCUACCUUACCAGUUGUAUUAUUUAUUAAUAUGAUACUUCACUUUUCUAGCAAUACAGAGAGUUACUAUUUAUUAUGGAAAAGCUCACAACAGAUUUCCAACAAGAAUAGGCAUUAUGAUCAAUGUCUUUCUUACAUUUCUUUCUUACAUCAGUAUCUAACUGAUACGUUUAAGAUUUUACCACACUAGAGAUUUGAAAAAAAUUAAAGGGUUCACUCAUUAACUUUGUUUCAAUUUUCCAGUAUUGAACUUCGGUGCUUCUCGGACAGAAAUUAAGAAAAGCUCAUCCUAAUAACCAGAACAACCUACUCUUCACAUGGUAGUUUGGCCACCUCUCUAAUUCAGCAGAUGAGACAUUCUUAAUUAAAUUUGGGUUGGGUUCAAAACGCAAUCACAGCUUAAAAAUGCUAAAAAAUUUCUGAAGGAGUUGGGCCAGAGCAGAAGGAAGACUGCAGAAUUAGUUAGAUUUUUAGGAUGGAAUAAUCACUGUCACAACUUCUUACCAUGUGGGUAAUACGACAAACCUAAAUUAAAAAAAAACAGACUCAGGCUGAGAAUGCCAUGCUGCAGUAAACACGUAGAACUAUCAUUUAGUUUUUCCAGGAAACUGCUUAAGUGUGUAAUAAUCUUACUUUAGUUUACACAAAGGCAGUGAUCAAACCCAUCCAUUCCCUUUUCCACUUAGUAAAGUCUACUGAUGGUAAUAACUUAACCCAGGCACAGAUGGAAUGAAAAAAUAAGGGAAAACUGCACUAUUAAAUACUCAGACCAGAAAUUAUACACAUAUUUCAGCAAUAGCCAAACCCUGUACAAAAAUGUAGUCAGUUUUUUCACAGCUUUGCUGAGGUAUGUGAGGGACAGGCAAUGCCGUAAAGUAACAGGACAUGCCACCCAUUUCAUACUACAACAUGAAGAAUGCAUGAGCCGAUGGAAUAUGGAGCCAAAUACUCAGAUGCUGUAGUCUGAAGAUAAAUGCUAGCAAAUGCUUGACAGGAGUCUCUUCAUAGUUUAGCUGAAAAUAUGAACAACUGAUUUAUAAAAGAUUUUCGCUGUCGUUCUCUGUGGAAAGUUCGCAUUCAGUACGAUUUGUAGUUCCGAAACACCAGAUUUAGGCAUGUGUUUAAUAUGUUUUCUAAAUCUCAGAUAUUUAUAUGUGUGCAAGCAUCAUUAACUUGAGCAAAAACAUUUGCCAAGUACAGUUACAUUAAAAAAACAAAACAGUUAAUCAUCAGUUGAACGGACCCAUGUUUCUCAAAGAAAACCUACAAUAAUGAGUUGAAAACAUUACAAUCUUCCUGCAUUUAAAAAAAAGAUUUAAAUUCCUUAAAUACUUACAACUAGAAGUGACUGAAUGCUCCAGAUCCUAGACUUACUUUCUAAAAGCAGAUUGCACUUGCCAUUGCAGUCACUGGAAUCUUAUUGUACAAAUGGCAUUUGAAAAAAAACAAAGAAACAGAAAAACAUAACCUGCAAUAAACUCCUGCUAGCAGAAGAGACAUCCAGGGGUCAACUGGAGCCUGAGGUUUUACCCACAUUAAGUUUUCAAGCUAAUAGGUAAUGCUAUACUAAUAUAUAUUCAUAGCAUAGAGUACCUGACAAUGUAAUUUAUGCUGCUGAGUCGCACGCCAAGGCAAAUAACCUAACAUGCACCUGGGACAACACUACCUAAAAUUCUAUAUAUUCAUAAAAUACAGAAAGAAACAAUUUUUUCCAUUAUAUGUCAACCAUGCAACAAUGGCUAUUUUGCAAGUGCAUUUGCAAUGUGGCCAACAGAAUAGGCUCUGACUGUGUAAGAGAUUCGUAAUUCAUACAGAAAACACCACAAAUGCUCACACUAACUUUAGGCAAUUUUUUCAGUCCACUGGGCUUAUUUAUGGGAUAUGGUUAUGGACCACGCAGUAUACUUCAGCAGUCAAUUCAACAACAAUGAUAUAAAUACAAAUUUUAUCUUCACAUUUCUAACAAAACAAAUUGUAAUUUAAGUGAGAAUAAACAUUACUGAUGUUUUUUGUUUUACCAAUACUGAUAAUUUUAUGUAAUUGCUCUGAUACGUGUGGGCUUCUCUCCCCCCCCCAUCACUGCUAUUAACCAUAUUAAGAUUAUAAUGCACUUGGAUUUCAAAAAUUAUUCUCAUCUUUCAAAAAUGACCUAUUUCUCUCUUUUCAGCUAGGAUAGAGUUAUCCAGAAACAUAUUAAACAUGCAAAUUUAAAUACUCUGGGACUGCAUGCAAUCUUUCCACAUUUAAACGGGCAUAAUGCUCUUUUAUUAACUCCACUCCACAAACAAACAGGAGAAACAAAACAAAAAACCCACACCCUUUUAGGAAAAUGUAUUAAACAAUUUUUGUUGUUUACUUUUAUAAGUUGGAAUAAACAUCAUCUUGGAUCAUAAAGCAAUGCUUUCCACGAUGCCACAUGCAGAUUUAUCUCUUUUGAGAUGCAUGUAAUUCACAAGGUUGAACAUUGAAAAAAACCACACAAAAGUAGGAGUAGGAUUCUGUGAUCCUCGUGUGUGUCCCUCCCAAUUCACUGUACUCUAUGACUCCAUGAAAACUGAAAACUUGCAUUCUGUAACAGUUUAAAAUCUCAGUGUUUGCAAAUGUAUGUUUACCCACACAUACCAUAUCUAAGUAAUUCCUAUAUACAAUGAAUGCUUGUUCUCAUCUGAAUUAUUUACACUCCAGCACAUACCUUCUGACCUCCUGCAGAUUCUGCACUGUGAUGCUCUUUAAGUUUUUGUUCCUGUUCCAUUAUGUCUUUCAAAUGUUCAUUUACCUAGAGACAAAAAAGCUUAUUCUGUGGUCCAAGAAACAAGUUGGGGAAAUAGCAAGUUUUUUUAAGGUCUGUAAAUUUAACAGGUAUUUCUGAUUCCAUAGCUGUGAAGUGUAACCUGCAAAUGUCAACAUUCCAGCUGCAGUCUAGGUCACUUAUAUUUAGCUUUAUGCUGUAUUAACAGCUCUGCCCUUUAUUAUGCUUGAUUGCAUUUGAUUAGGGCUGUAUUGCUGUCAUUUGAUUUGAUUGUGUGGUAAAGGUAAACAAUCUCAAGCAAGAUGCGUUCCAAUACAAACAGAACACUUGGCUUUCAGAUCAUGAUAAAUUACAGAAGAAAUCAGCUCUUUUAACACAGCCAACAGGAGACACUCAACCAGCCAACCUGGUAUCUCAACACAACAGCAACUGUUAACGAGCCAUAUGCAAGUCACAUUAUCCUUUAUUAUUUAGGCUUCUCAUUUAUCUAGUUUGCCUAACUUGUUUAACUGAUUUCUGCAAACUUCUCUUUUCGUUACCCACAAACAGCAGAUGAAGAACAGUCCCUGUCAGAUACACCUAUGUAUAUACAUAUCCCUAUCCAGUCAUCUCUAAUAGAAACUUACAGACUGCAAAUAGAAUCAUGGUUUGCUUUUCCAGUGCUCAUACCUUGUUUAUCCAGAACAUGACAGCAUCCUCUAUGUCAUAAGGUAGAUCCGUCGCUUGGAAGAAAGACGAAUACUGCUGAGUGCACGCAAUCACUUUCUCAACGCUGACCAUCUCUACGGUAUACGCCAUCAUAAGAGUAUCGAUCAUAGCCAAAUGAGCACUCUACAAAGAGAAAUAGUAAUGCCUCAUUAUUAUGCAAAUUGAAAUACCAUUUUCUUACGUACUGUUUGCAAACACAGCCAGAUGCAUACAGAGACCCAAACUGUAAAUGCUACAGGUUUUCUGCCUGGUUUUCAGUAUUUGAAUCAGAGACAAACAGCAGAAACACGCACAACAGAUUUGAGAAAGCAAGACAAUGCAAAAAAAAAAUGCUUACCAUGAAUUAAAGUAACUUCUGUAACAAAACAAACAUGAAAAGUAAAGAAAUCAAAUGGAAAGAAAAAACAACUUCCGAGAUUCAAACGUUACUUCAACUUGAUGUUUUAGCAAAGCCUAAGAGGGCUUCUGAGAUCUCAAGGAAAAUAAUCCCCCUGGCCUGAUCCAUGUUAUUUGUACUGGAAAUAAAAACAGACUGGCUGCCAAGCAACCUUCAUUAUCAUUACAUUGCUGCAUACGUGCAAGUUUACCUGUUUUUCAAGUCACAGUCUAGGAAGACACAAUUACACUAACAUAACUAAAAAGCAGAAUGACAGAAAACAGUUAUUUUUCUUCUAGCAAACUCAUCUAACACAGAUGAAGCUAAACACACACAACUAUCUUGAAAACAGGCACAUACUGGUAAAUAAAACAUGGUUUCCAUUAAUGCAGAUGCUUCCAUGUAGUGAAAGACCACGUCUAUUUCCAAGUUUGCAAAAAAUUUUAUGAUGAAAAUCCUGGUUGCUUAUUUAUGCUCAUGGCUGAAAACAAAAAUGAUGCCAGUUUGUAGAGGUGGCACUUAUGAGAUUUGCUUCUGCUUCAGGACAAGCUUC
RNAcentral lists this long non-coding RNA (6924 nucleotides) under Gallus gallus (chicken). The record is from RNAcentral. Lineage: Eukaryota; Metazoa; Chordata; Aves; Galliformes; Phasianidae.